Non-coding RNA from Danio rerio (zebrafish), 192 nucleotides. The record is from Ensembl. Lineage: Eukaryota; Metazoa; Chordata; Actinopteri; Cypriniformes; Danionidae.
AUGUCGGAUACGAAGGUAAAAGUGGCCGUCCGGGUUCGACCGAUGAACCGCAGAGAGAUUGAGCUCAACACUAAAUGUGUGGUUGAGAUGGAGGACAAUCAGACCGUUCUGCACCCGCCGCCCUCCAAUGCAAAAGGAGAAAGCAGGUACAGUUUCUCCCACACCAUCAUGUUAAGCCUCCUAUCAAUCUGA